Molecule: ribosomal RNA, 198 nt
Filed under: uncultured bacterium
Lineage: Bacteria
Description: partial 16S ribosomal RNA
Rfam family: Bacterial small subunit ribosomal RNA
Source: RNAcentral
ACGCUCGACACCUACGGGUGGCAGCAGUGGGGAAUAUUGCACAAUGGGGGAAACCCUGAUGCAGCGACGCCGCGUGAGCGAAGAAGUAUUUCGGUAUGUAAAGCUCUAUCAGCAGGGAAGAUAAUGACGGUACCUGACUAAGAAGCUCCGGCUAAAUACGUGCCAACAGCCGCGGUAAUCUGAGCGGGCUGGCAAGGC